CAAGAAUUAAAUGUAAUUGUAUUUCUGAAAAUGAGAACAUAAUGAAGAAAAAAAUAUAUAGUGCAAAUAAUUUAAUUUGGUAAAUGUGAUUAAGGUAAAGAGUAUAUCUUUCCCUGACCUGUAGAAUAUUUAAAUCCGUGAUCAACGGAACAUAAUUUGCUUGUUCAAGGACAGGUGAACACUGAAAUAUCAAUUCCUACCACAUUAUGUCUUUUAUAACUGGCAAACAUUAUGGAACAUAUUAUUCAAAAUCAGCUCUACAGUUGGUGAGGGAACGUAAGCUUAAACUGGAUUUGGUUUAUUGUGAAAACAUGUUUAAAAUAUCUUAGAUCUAUAAAAUCUAGAAGCUGUAAGAUUAGUUAAGUGUAAUUUAAAGGAAGGUGAUAGGAUAUCAUGAUACUGUGAGCUCAGAGGGCCACUAUCUCGGAGAAAGAACUUAAUCAAUGCUUCCCCUUUAUUAUCUCCUCUUUGCAAAAUCACACUAGCUCCUAAUCAACAUUACAGUAAUGCUACUAAUUUAAAUAACUAUGUUACACCUAAAAAAAACCAACUCAACUAACUGGCAGUACUCAGCCAUUCACAUUGUCCUCAUGGCCAUGAUGCAGAAAGAACGAUAAUAAAAUAACCAGCAGCUGUUGUGUAUUUCUGUAGAUGACCUUCUGGUUGGCUUGACCUAUUCUGGGGUACCAUCACAUUUUAAUUUUAAAAGGUGAAUGUGUUUAUUUUAAAAGAUGUCUUAUUUCAAUGGACAAAAGAUGAUGUUGAUGAUGAUGGAAAAAGUAUUUGGUAAAGAGCCUCUUAAGAAAACUGAAGGUAUGGUGGUUGG
Molecule: non-coding RNA, 826 nt
Organism: Pelobates cultripes (western spadefoot toad)
Lineage: Eukaryota; Metazoa; Chordata; Amphibia; Anura; Pelobatidae
Source: the annotation of a GenBank genome assembly